Molecule: ribosomal RNA, 491 nt
Filed under: uncultured bacterium
Lineage: Bacteria
Description: partial 16S ribosomal RNA
Rfam family: Bacterial small subunit ribosomal RNA
Source: RNAcentral
AGUGAACGCUGGCGGUAGGCCUAACACAUGCAAGUCGAACGGCAGCACGGUAAGAGCUUGCUCUUACGGGUGGCGAGUGGCGGACGGGUGAGGAAUACAUCGGAAUCUACUUUUUCGUGGGGGAUAACGUAGGGAAACUUACGCUAAUACCGCAUACGACCUACGUGUGAAAGCAGGGGAUCUUCGGACCUUGCUCGAUUGAAUGAGCCGAUGUCGGAUUAGCUAGUUGGCGGGGUAAAGGCCCACCAAGGCGACGAUCCGUAGAUGGUCUGAGAGGAUGAUCAGACACACUGGAACUGAGACACGGUCCAGAAUCCUACGGGAGGCAGCAGUGGGGAAUAUUGGACAAUGGGCGCAAGACUGAUCAAGCCAUACCGCGUGGGUGAAGAAGGCCUUCGGGUGGUAAAGACCUUUUGUGGGGAAAGAAAAGAAGCAGGUUAAUACCCCGAUGUUCUGACGGUACCCAAAGAAUAAGCACCGGCGAAAUUCGU